This 466-nucleotide ribosomal RNA is filed under the name uncultured bacterium. Its description in RNAcentral is "partial 16S ribosomal RNA". It matches the Rfam family "Bacterial small subunit ribosomal RNA", at positions 28 to 507 of the family's 1533-position model. The record is from RNAcentral.
GACGAACGCUGGCGGCGUGCUUAACACAUGCAAGUCGAACGGAAAGGCCCUGCUUGCAGGGUACUCGAGUGGCGAACGGGUGAGUAACACGUGGGUGAUCUGCCCUGCACUUCGGGAUAAGCUUGGGAAACUGGGUCUAAUACCGGAUAGGAGCCAUCUUUAGUGUGGUGGUUGGAAAGUUUUUUCGGUGUAGGAUGAGCUCGCGGCCUAUCAGCUUGUUGGUGGGGUAAUGGCCUACCAAGGCGGCGACGGGUAGCCGGCCUGAGAGGGUGUACGGCCACAUUGGGACUGAGAUACGGCCCAGACUCCUACGGGAGGCAGCAGUGGGGAAUAUUGCACAAUGGGCGCAAGCCUGAUGCAGCGACGCCGCGUGGGGGGUGAAGGCCUUCGGGUUGUAAACUCCUUUCGCUAGGGACGAAGCUUUUUUGUGACGGUACCUAGAUAAGAAGCACCGGCUAACUACGUG